UGNAACUCCAGAUAAAAGUA
Molecule: transfer RNA, 20 nt
Filed under: Mammuthus primigenius (woolly mammoth)
Lineage: Eukaryota; Metazoa; Chordata; Mammalia; Proboscidea; Elephantidae
Description: partial tRNA-Leu
Source: RNAcentral